CAGCGCCACGAGUGGUGAUCAUUAUUAUUGGGCUUAAAGCGUCCGUAGCCGGUUUAGAAAGUCUUUUGUGAAAUCGUCCAGCUCAACUGGACGACGUGCAGGAGAAACUCUUAAACUUGGAAUCGGGAGGGGUCAGGAGUAUUCUUGGGGCAGCGGUAAAAUGUUAUAAUCCCAAGAAGACUACCGGUGGCGAAGGCGCCUGACCAGAACGAAUUCGACGGUGAGGGACGAAGGCCAGGGGAGCGAACCGGAUUAGAUACCCGAGUAGUCC
RNAcentral lists this ribosomal RNA (271 nucleotides) under uncultured archaeon. RNAcentral's name for it is "partial 16S ribosomal RNA". It matches the Rfam family "Archaeal small subunit ribosomal RNA", at positions 477 to 747 of the family's 1478-position model. The record is from RNAcentral.